This 469-nucleotide ribosomal RNA is filed under the name uncultured bacterium. RNAcentral's name for it is "partial 16S ribosomal RNA". It matches the Rfam family "Bacterial small subunit ribosomal RNA", at positions 28 to 507 of the family's 1533-position model. The record is from RNAcentral.
GACGAACGCUGGCGGCGUGCUUAACACAUGCAAGUCGAACGGAAAGGCCCUGCUUGCAGGGUGCUCGAGUGGCGAACGGGUGAGUAACACGUGGGUGAUCUGCCCCUUACUUUGGGAUAAGCCUGGGAAACUGGGUCUAAUACUGGAUAGGACCAUGCUGCAGGUGGUGUGGUGGAAAGAUUAGUUUCGGUUAGGGAUGAGCUCGCGGCCUAUCAGCUUGUUGGUGGGGUAAUGGCCUACCAAGGCGUCGACGGGUAGCCGGCCUGAGAGGGUGGACGGCCACAUUGGGACUGCGACACGGCCCAGACGCCUACGGGAGGCAGCAGUGGGGGAUAGUGCACAGUAGGCGCAAGGCUGGUGCAACGACGCCGCUUGGGGGGUAACGGCCUUCGGGUUGUAAACACCUUUCAGCCAUGACGAAGCCCUUGUGGUGACGUUAGUGGUAGAAGAAGCACCGGCUAACUACGUG